Molecule: ribosomal RNA, 253 nt
Filed under: uncultured bacterium
Lineage: Bacteria
Description: partial 16S ribosomal RNA
Rfam family: Bacterial small subunit ribosomal RNA
Source: RNAcentral
GACAGAGGUGCCAAGCGUUAGGCGGAAUCACUGGGCUUAAAGCGUGUGUAGGCGGACUUGUAAGUACCUUGUGAAAUCCCACGGCUCAACCGUGGAACUGCUUGGUAUACUGCUUGUCUUGAGCCACUUAGGGGCUACCGGAACAAAUGGUGGAGCGGUGAGAUGCGUAGAUAUCAUUUGGAACGCCAAUGGUGAAAACAGGUAGCUGGGAGUGUGCUGACGCUGAGACACGAAAGCCAGGGGAGCGAACGGG